Pezoporus flaviventris is the source of this 3290-nucleotide long non-coding RNA. RefSeq lists it as uncharacterized. The record is from RefSeq and is a predicted model, not a curated record. The transcript has 3 exons. NCBI's taxonomy places the organism in Eukaryota, Metazoa, Chordata, Aves, Psittaciformes, Psittacidae.
ACAACUACUGUUUAUGUCAAACAGUGAAAAAAAAGCUUUUUUGCUUUGGAAGGGAGGAAAAUUUAUAGGAAGUUUAACCACAAUGCCUCUGGACUUCUGCAGAUUAAAGGUGGGGGAGUUUACCUUCAGGAUCACCAACUUUCUUGGUUGUAAACCAACUCUAAUCCACUUCCUUGAUCCUCCUGCAAUUGAUUAAUGCCAUGCUAAUCCUGUCCUGGCCAGGCACAACGUGGAAAAGUGAAUGUACUACAUUUUCUACAAGAAAAGUAUUCAGGAAUCUAGAUCUCAAUCCAAGACACUUUAACCUUUGUGGAAGGGUCAGGACGAAACACUCAAUGAGAUUACUGAGCUGCGAUAUCUACAGAAACAGCAAGCAUUUUACCCAUGUGAUGCAUCUUUCUUGAGAGACCAAAGCAACUGUCAGAUCAAGCAUUUCAAGACACAUCAUUUCCAGAAGAGGGGAGUUAGACACACUCUUGAUCGUGUGCUUCUGUUUAUUCUGGUAAGGGAUCUAGGACACCUGUGUUAGUUUUAAAGCUACUACAUGUACAGCACUUGACUGCUAUAUUUUGGCAAGUCCCAGCUGUUAUUUCACAUGUGUGAACUAAGAAAAUACCCAAGGUAAACACAGACUUAGAAGAAGUACCAAAAACAUUUACAAUAAAGCAUGCAAGUAUAGCCCAGUACUUUAACCUGCUAAUAUAUACAGUGUGCUGGCCCUGAUCUAUUUUCCUUUAGAGAGGCAAAGACAUGUAACAAAGCCUAUAUGAAAAACCACAACCAGUUACUAGAUAUUUCUCCUAAAGGAGCAGCACAAAUAUGAAUUCCUCUUCUAAUAUUUUCCUUUACUUAUUGUUGUCACCAGACAAGCUCAUCCAAAUGUAUGCAGCGCAGAACAGAAGCAUUUUUUUCUGUUCGUUUUAUGCAUCUGACAGCAUUUAAUCUAAAAAUCAGUUUAAAUCCAGAUUACUUACAUGUGUGCACACACUCACACUCCCCCUCUACACACACAGUGUUAAAAGGACAUUACUGAUGAUCAUUUAUUUUUCUCCACUCUUGCUGCAUUUUGUAAUAUCCCUUCUCUCUUGAAAAACCACAUAAGAUUGUCUUUAAUGCACUUCAGUGGUGUCAAAAGAACCUCAGGAAAUGAGGACUGAGGUGAACCUAAGGUUCACUGUAUGCCAUCAGUACUCUGAUUAUACAUACUGCUUUGUAAUGGAGGUAAAGAUCUGCGCUCCUGAUGUCCUGCUUUCAAAAAUCAAUAUUCUGUCCACUUUCUGUCUCCUCUAAUUAAACCAAAUUACUUUGACCUGCUUGGUUUCUCCUCCAGAAGUGAUGUUCUAUUAUAACUUACUCUCACCCACAAUCAGGUUUGAGUUAGGCCUCAGAAACUCUUAGAUUUCACUAGAAAUGAGUUUUAAUAGAAAAACAGGUUUUCUUUAUCUCCAUGAUUUCCUGUAUAUGGGUCACAUCCUUUGAAGUACGAUCAUCAGCUCUGUAAGUACUACCCUUAGAGGUAAGUUUUCCAGCUGCCGCCUGACAUAUCUGACAUAACCACCCCAUAGUCUGUGAGCCGUAUCUUUCUGGGCAAAGAAAUAAUAAAACCCUGAGCUAUUGAUUCAGAUUCAUGGGGAGAAAUAAGUUACUUCCAGGCAUCAACCUGAGCACAGGGUGAAGUUUUCUGAGGAAUUUCUGAGAGGCGCCUAAGAGAGAUGAGAAGCUGUAGGAGAAAAGGGUCACUUGAUUACUGCUGAGACCAAAACUUUGCAAUGGGAUGGCAGGACUUUGUGUGACCAGGGUCAUUUCAAGCUCUGAAGGAACAUUUCCCAGUGUUGUAGUUCUUUUUUGCCAAAUUCAGCCCGGAUGCAAAUGAGACCUGUUCUGCUAAAGCUAUGCAAUGGGUGAGUUACCUUGCUGAGUAAGAACCACACACCAUUUCGUGAUUAACUAAUUUCUUACUCAAAAGCUUUCAGUACUUAAAGGCUUCAGACUUAAAAACUUUUUUGUCCCAUGUUUGACAUGGCAAUGUUCAGUUAAAGUAUCAUGUCCCUCUAAUUAUGGGUGCUUCAAACACAGUGAUGUUUUGCUUACAUCCAUUACUGAUCAUUCACUACUCCCAUUCAUCAUAAUCCUGGAUUGCUCUAGUUCACUCAACACUAAUUCUAACUGGCUUUCAUCGUUCCCAUGGAAAACAUACACCAACAAUUAAAUCUUUCAGCAAAGGACUCAACUCAUUUGGAGGUUUAUAAAAGCACUGAGGAAAAAAACCCCACCAUGUAUAUAUUUAUGACAGCCACAGCAAUAAGUAUGUAAAUCUCUGAUAACAAUGCAGAUAAUUCCAUCGGUGGUGAAAAGUUAAUUUGAUGGGAUCUGGCAUUUAUAUUUCUGAUGCCAGACAGUGUAAUGCAUUUUAGAGUGGUAGGUCUAAAGAUUCUUGAGAGCUUCCUGGAUAACUUGAAAAGAAGAAAGAGAAGUGGGAAUGUGGGGAGACAAGGAAAAGGCACAUGCAGUUAUAUACAGAAGUAGAAAGUCACAUCUAGAUUACACAUAGAAAGUGUAAUCUAGAAAACAUUCCUUUACUAUAGUGAUAUAUUAUGAGUUAGUUAAAUGUUAUCUUUAGAAACAGUAAAGUGCAUGCCAUUACUUUGAGGAAAGGAGAGUAGAUGCCCAAGGCAGAGAAAAUUUUGGCUCCCUCAUUUCUUACCCUUGCAGAGUUUGUGCAUACUGAACUCUGGCCAACACUCUCUACUGUCGAUCCAGCUCCAGCCACCUCCAACGACUUAUUUGAAGUCCUGCAGAAAACCUGGGUGAGGGCUGGGGAAUAAAGCAAGCUCUCUGUCUUCUUGCCCCAUGCUGUAACCAUGAGACCACCCUCCCACAUAAAAGCCUGAAGAUAUCACAGUAUCAGGAGAAAGGCAUUUCUAUAACUUUCCAUAUAUUUUAGCCUAAAUACCUUGGCAAUACUAGACCAUAAGCAGUGAGCGUAAUGGUUUGAGGGCUGAUGGCUCUGUCAAAGAAAUACUUACAUCGGGUUGAUACUAGCUUAAUAUGGUCUUUACUACUCCCAUUGUGAUGAUUUAUAUGUCCUUCCAAAUCCUGAAAGAAAGAAAUGAGGCUUAGCAUUACCUUUCUAAAGACUAUAAUUGUGUUUCUAUAAAGAAAGCAUAACUGGUGGAUAGCUUUCUAUGUGUAGAUAACCUUAGUAAUGAAGAAUUGUAAGUGGUACUCAUUCUGUGUAUGUGUAUACAAUAUGCAGUAAAAGGAACAAGAGAAAAGAGAAGGUGAGAAAC